CAAAUAAAAGAUUUAGGAUAUACAACAAAACACAGAUACAAAAUUAACUAACAAAUAAACAUACUAACAAGUUAAAAAUUACCUUUGUCAAAAACAUCUGUUUGUGAUUAAUAUAUAAUACAUAAAUAUCUUAUUUAGAUUCAUGAAAGAAAAAGCGAACGCUGCUACGUUUCCCGUUCCCAAACUCCCAACAGCUCCAGUACACAGAAUAUACUCAAUAUACUAUGCUCCAGUCGACUGCGACCUGCGACGACUGUGACUGGAACAGUCUGACCGGGCGACGGGGCUAGGAGCAUUUUCAGAAUUUACACUAUUGCCUGCUAUUGCUCCUAUUGCUACUCACGAGCGCAGAUGUCCUAAACUUGUAAACUGCUCCGAAAUGUCACUGCGAUUUUCUUGGAACUGGAGCAGUCACAUACUGCGACGUUGGUGGAGCUGUGACAAAGUAGCGGACUGCGAUUUCACAACCCACCUCUACUGACGAGUUGACAUGACAUAAAAAGCUGUUGCUGUGACAGUGAAAUAUUUCUUUUGUAAGCAAAUUGUGUUUUUAUCGUGAUCAAAUCAAAGUUCACGGGUACCUAGGUUUACAACUUACAACCACAGAAAAUUUUACUGAAUCCAGCUUUAAGAAUAUUUCUUUAGUAAAAAUGCAGUGAAAGUACAUUUUCCAGACGCAACUGAUCUGGACAUUACGCGAUGUAUUGGUAUUUCACUAGCGACAGCCGGAGACGGGAUGGGGAAGAAUAUUUAGAGAUCAAGAAAUUUGUAUUCUUCACAUUUGGGUGAUUCUGUACCUGUCCAUCCCCACCAUAUCACUAUAUUGUGACAAAUACUUCACCUACUACGAAGAAUAUGGAGAGAACUUCUUCAAUGUCACCUGCAGCGACAUCAGCAAAAACACCCAACACGUUUUGGAGAACAUCACGAUCAACAACGAAAUUUCAUUGACUAUCAUCGAUUCAUCACUUGAAAACGUCACCCCAGAUCUGUUCAGAAACGUGCGU
This 1007-nucleotide unclassified non-coding RNA is filed under the name Sitophilus oryzae (rice weevil). Its description in RNAcentral is "leucine-rich repeats and immunoglobulin-like domains protein 3, transcript variant X1". The record is from RNAcentral. Lineage: Eukaryota; Metazoa; Arthropoda; Insecta; Coleoptera; Curculionidae.